This 346-nucleotide non-coding RNA is filed under the name Bacillus sp. MRMR6. RNAcentral's name for it is "Bacterial small subunit ribosomal RNA". It matches the Rfam family "Bacterial small subunit ribosomal RNA", at positions 1 to 336 of the family's 1533-position model. The record is from Rfam by way of RNAcentral. Lineage: Bacteria; Bacillati; Bacillota; Bacilli; Caryophanales; Bacillaceae.
UUCAUGGAGAGUUUGAUCCUGGCUCAGGACGAACGCUGGCGGCGUGCCUAAUACAUGCAAGUCGAGCGAAUCWWGAGGUGCUUGCACCUCUUGGUUAGCGGCGGACGGGUGAGUAACACGUGGGCAACCUGCCUGUAAGACUGGGAUAACAUCGGGAAACCGAUGCUAAUACCGGAUAAUCCUUUUCCUCUCAUGAGGGAAAGCUGAAAGUCGGCUUCUCGCUGACACUUACAGAUGGGCCCGCGGCGCAUUAGCUAGUUGGUGAGGUAACGGCUCACCAAGGCGACGAUGCGUAGCCGACCUGAGAGGGUGAUCGGCCACACUGGGACUGAGACACGGCCCAGAC